RNAcentral lists this ribosomal RNA (858 nucleotides) under Amaurodon sp. FD8673. Its description in RNAcentral is "partial 28S ribosomal RNA". It matches the Rfam family "Eukaryotic large subunit ribosomal RNA", at positions 80 to 927 of the family's 3401-position model. The record is from RNAcentral. Lineage: Eukaryota; Fungi; Basidiomycota; Agaricomycetes; Thelephorales; Thelephoraceae.
CUAGUAACUUGCGAGUGAAGCGGGAAAAGCUCAAAUUUAAAAUCUGGCGUGUNUCUGGUCGUCCGAGUUGUANUCUGGAGAANCGUCUUCNNCGCUGGACCGUGUACAAGUCCCUUGGAACAGGGCGUCAUAGAGGGNGAGAAUCCCGUCUUUGACACGGACUACCAGUGCUCUGUGAUGCCCUCUCAAANAGUCNAGUUGUUUGNNAAUGCNNCUCANAAUGGGUGGNNAAUUCCAUCUAAUGCUAAAUAUUGGCGAGAGACCGAUAGCGAACAAGUACCGUGAGGGAAAGAUGAAAAGCACUUUGGAAAGAGAGUUAAACAGUACGUGAAAUUGCUGAAAGGGAAACGUUUGAAGUCAUUCGCGUCUGCCGGGACUCAGCCUUGCUUCUGCUUGGUGCACUUUCCGGUUGACGGNCCAGCAUNGAUUUUGACAUCCGGAAAAAGGCAGGGGGAAUGUGGCACCUUCGGGUGUGUUAUAGCCCCCUGUUGUAUACGGCGGUUGGGAUCGAGGNCCGCANCACGCCUUUAUGGCCGGGGUUCGCCCACGUACGUGCNUAGGANGCUGGCAUAAUGGCUUUAAGCGACCCGUCUNGAAACACGGNCCAAGGAGUNUAACANNCCUGCGAGUGUUUGGGUGGAAAACCCGNGCGCGUAAUGAAAGUGAUAGUUGAGACCUUUGUCAUGGAGGGCAUCGACGCCCGGACUUGAUNUACGGAGACGGUUCCGCGGUAGAGCAUGUAUGUUGGGACCCGAAAGAUGUGAACUAUGCCUGAAUAGGGUGAAGCCAGAGGAAACUCCGGAGGCUCGUAGCGAUUCUGACGUGCAAAUCGAUCGUCAAAUUUGGGUAUAGGGCGAA